UCGUAACAAGGUUUCCGUAGGUGAACCUGCGGAAGGAUCAUUACCGAGUGAGGGCCCUUUGGGUCCAACCUCCCACCCGUGUUUAUUUUACCUUGUUGCUUCGGCGGGCCCGCCUUUACUGGCCGCCGGGGGGCUCACGCCCCCGGGCCCGCGCCCGCCGAAGACACCCUCGAACUCUGUCUGAAGAUUGAAGUCUGAGUGAAAAUAUAAAUUAUUUAAAACUUUCAACAACGGAUCUCUUGGUUCCGGCAUCGAUGAAGAACGCAGCGAAAUGCGAUACGUAAUGUGAAUUGCAAAUUCAGUGAAUCAUCGAGUCUUUGAACGCACAUUGCGCCCCCUGGUAUUCCGGGGGGCAUGCCUGUCCGAGCGUCAUUGCUGCCCUCAAGCCCGGCUUGUGUGUUGGGCCCCGUCCUCCGAUCCCGGGGGACGGGCCCGAAAGGCAGCGGCGGCACCGCGUCCGGUCCUCGAGCGUAUGGGGCUUUGUCACCCGCUCUGUAGGCCCGGCCGGCGCUUGCCGAUCAACCCAAAUUUUUAUCCAGGUUGACCUCGGAUCAGGUAGGGAUACCCGCUGAACCUAAGCAUAUC
This 585-nucleotide unclassified non-coding RNA is filed under the name Penicillium melanoconidium. Its description in RNAcentral is "sequence contains 18S rRNA gene, ITS1, 5.8S rRNA gene, ITS2, 28S rRNA gene". The stretch from base 220 to 372 matches the Rfam family "5.8S ribosomal RNA". The record is from RNAcentral. Lineage: Eukaryota; Fungi; Ascomycota; Eurotiomycetes; Eurotiales; Aspergillaceae.